RNAcentral lists this long non-coding RNA (614 nucleotides) under Pongo abelii (Sumatran orangutan). RNAcentral's name for it is "lincRNA". The record is from RNAcentral. Lineage: Eukaryota; Metazoa; Chordata; Mammalia; Primates; Hominidae.
UGGGGUGUAAUCACAGAGCAGCUGACACUCCCCACUCACUGCCUGGAGGAGCUUGGCGGUGGGAUCGGGCAAGGCGGGAAAGAUAGGUGUAAAACAAAGCCUGGCACUUAAUUACAGCGCAAAGAUCUCAUUAUAGAGUCUUCUCAGCUCCCCUCCUCGGCUGGCAGCUUGAAGCCUGAGUGACAAAUUGCCUAAGUGGAUGCUGCAAGACCAGCAGGGGCCUGGCUUAUCAUGCAACUUUGUGAAUAUGUGGGAGAGAGGAGCCUUCCAGGCGAUGUUGUGGCCUCCCAGGAACUCCCAAAGCCCCCCUCCCCAGGGUGGCAUCUGGUUUUGGACACUGGUUUCUGUCACUGAGCUCCAGGGACUCAUGUCACACCUGGAAGAACUUUUAGAUUCUGUCUGCCUGGCCAUGUCUUCCAACAGCUGAGAUCAUUGAGGAAGAUGACAACUUCUCCCUGAACAGCCAGGACAGCUUAGGGUCUUCUCACAUGUGGACCUUGAAAUGCACUUCCAUUAUUUUUCUCCAGUAUAUUCAGGGGAAGGGGGCUGGUGAUCAAAGCUUUUGCUGAGCAGGGACAGAAGGGUUGUCACUUGCUUUUUUCUCCGCUGAAACC